CAGCCGCCGCGGUAAUACGAAGGGGGCUAGCGUUGUUCGGAAUUACUGGGCGUAAAGCGCAUGUAGGCGGAUAUUUAAGUCAGGGGUGAAAUCCCAGAGCUCAACUCUGGAACUGCCUUUGAUACUGGGUAUCUUGAGUAUGGAAGAGGUAAGUGGAAUUCCGAGUGUAGAGGUGAAAUUCGUAGAUAUUCGGAGGAACACCAGUGGCGAAGGCGGCUUACUGGUCCAUUACUGACGCUGAGGUGCGAAAGCGUGGGGAGCAAACAGGAUUAGAUACCCCCGUAGUCCCUGUCUCUUAUAA
Molecule: ribosomal RNA, 301 nt
Filed under: uncultured bacterium
Lineage: Bacteria
Description: partial 16S ribosomal RNA
Rfam family: Bacterial small subunit ribosomal RNA
Source: RNAcentral